AUUUUACCCCUUAUAUCAAUUUUAAAGGACUAUUCUAUCCCUUUUUUAUAUAAAAAAAAAAUUUGGGGUUAUUACAUUAUAGCUCUGGGUCGGAAGAGGGGAGAGUGGUGUCAGGUGGUUGUAACUGCCUCAGCUGGCGAUCAGCGUCUCUAGGUCUCCAGAUGGGCCAGCCAUGUUGGGCUUGGCCCAUUAGCCCACUGUAUGUGGGCUGGUUCUCACAUUCUUCCCUCCUUAAAAUAAAAUUUCGUCCUCAAAAUUUAUAUAUCUUAAUUCUUAAACAAAUGAAGUUACUUAGUCGUUUAUCUAACAUUCUACCAUGUUUCCGCUGCACUCUCUGAUUUAAAACACUAAAAU
Molecule: long non-coding RNA, 354 nt
Filed under: Phoenix dactylifera (date palm)
Lineage: Eukaryota; Viridiplantae; Streptophyta; Magnoliopsida; Arecales; Arecaceae
Description: long non-coding RNA (PDAC_LNC021930)
Source: RNAcentral